AAGGGACAAAGUUUAGCCAAUCAAACCAGAACCUUACAAUCUCAUCACAUGGGCUUUAUUGCCUGUUUUAUGACCUCACUUCAGGCACUGAGGCCACCGGAUCCCAUCACAUGACGUAGAUCUACUUCCAGCUGGGCUCCAUGCCAGAAGUGAGGUGAAACGAUCGCAAGAGGCAAUGCCAGGAACAUGGGAAACUUCUCGUGUUCCAUAGAGUAGAAUGGGGGGAAAUCAGGCAGCAACGCUUCACCCCUUGGGAUGAGACCCAUCUGAAAAAGCCCAUUUGGUAUUGCCCUAAAUUCCCAGAAUCUACUCUGCAAUCACCUGGAGUAAGCGUAGAUGUGGCAACACCAUUCACUGAAAUCCACAAGCUUUACAACCCAUUUUCUGAGAUAUGAAGUUGAAGGCAGUAGUUACUGGAACUCUCCAGGAUACGGUCUGUACCAGGGAACAGUGUCCUUCCAGUCAAUAGUUCAGCCAUAAUGCAUCCAACUGACCAAAUAUCAACUGAGGAAAAGCCACAAUAAACUGAAGAUUCACCCAUUACUUCCAAAGGUCUGAAUCAAUCUCUAGUCAAUUCCUUGAGAAAAUCCUAAAAUCUGAAGAUCUACAAGAUGUCUCUGAAACCAAUACCUGUAAUAGAAAAUACUAGGAGAUUUAUAAUUUUCAUUGCACAGGACACAAGAAAUAAAACUUAAAUAGAAGUCAGAAAUUCAUGAAAUAAUUUAAAAUUGGGGUUGUUUUUUGUUUUUUUAAUGACUAUUCAGAAUGUAAAUUUUAUUAGCCUUUAAUAUGAAUGAAGAACUGAAACUGAAAUUUAGAAUAACACUAUGUAACAAAAUUUGAAAAAAAAAUCUGUUCCUGGUUUGAAAGUGUUGUUUCCUGUUUAAUUGUGGUGGUACUUAAUUUAAAAGUAGUGAUUAUACUCUAGAAACCUCGCUUGUGUGGCUGCCAAAAACUCUGAGAUAUUCACUGAAAAACUAAAGCAAAAUGUGUUGCAGGAUGUCCCAGAAAAACAAAGUUUUUGAAGUUUAAUAAACUUUUUUUAUGUUUUUAUGAUAGGCUCAAUUAGAAAAUGGCAUUUAUAACUCAGGGAAAUAAAUUGUGUUACAUAGUGCAAUACAUUACUUCCCUUGAAUCUUUGUAUCUUUUGGUACUAAAAUUUAGUACAACCACCACCUAU
Molecule: long non-coding RNA, 1180 nt
Organism: Anolis carolinensis (green anole)
Lineage: Eukaryota; Metazoa; Chordata; Lepidosauria; Squamata; Anolidae
Exons: 5
Source: RefSeq, a predicted model, not a curated record